GUUUUCCCUUGUAUUUUUUCUCUAGCUCUGUAACUAGUUGAGACAAAUCUAUUUUACACAACUUUUAUUUUUACAUUCCAUCUUCUGCAUCUCUUACUGUUUUCUUGGAGUAUUGCAUCUCACACAACCACUGCUUUCUGGGUCUUUCAUAUCCUACUGCCAGAGUGGGGUUCCAUGGCAAGGACGUUGCUGGUCAUUUCCCAGUUGCUUCUCACUCCACUCCAGGACUGCAGCAGAUGCCUGAGCCUUGCAGCUGUUCCUUGGUUGGAGUGAUAUGGAAAGGCAAAUAAGAAGUAUUUUCUUGAUUUCAAGGACAUGAUCUCCACUUCUCAUUGUCAUUAGGAAAACACCUGAUGGGAGUACUUGGUUCAGAAUGGGAUAAAAUGAGGACAAAGGACUCCAGUCAUAUCAGAAUAUCAGUAUUGCUGAUUUAUGCCACUUCUUUAUGGAACAACAAUACAAGAAUGAUCCUGUGAAGACUCCACUUAGUGUCACUUGUGGAAGUGAAUUACAAAGUGAUGGCCCAAGAGAAGAGUGAACAAAUCUGGCAUGUGGGCAUUAAGUUAUCAGCUCAGGAAAUGAACUUGCAUGUAGCAUGGAGCUACAAAAGUCU
This 613-nucleotide long non-coding RNA is filed under the name Numida meleagris (helmeted guineafowl). RNAcentral describes it as "lncRNA (ENSNMEG00000016816.1)". Lineage: Eukaryota; Metazoa; Chordata; Aves; Galliformes; Numididae. The record is from RNAcentral.